UUGUGUAGUAGCCAAGUGGUAAGGCAACAGACUUUGACUCUGUGAGCAUAGGUUCAACUCCUAUCUGCACAAU
This 73-nucleotide transfer RNA is filed under the name Companilactobacillus paralimentarius. RNAcentral's name for it is "tRNA-Gln(ttg)". It matches the Rfam family "tRNA". Rfam says of the family: Transfer RNA (tRNA) molecules are approximately 80 nucleotides in length. Lineage: Bacteria; Bacillati; Bacillota; Bacilli; Lactobacillales; Lactobacillaceae. The record is from RNAcentral.